This 494-nucleotide ribosomal RNA is filed under the name uncultured bacterium. RNAcentral describes it as "partial 16S ribosomal RNA". It matches the Rfam family "Bacterial small subunit ribosomal RNA", at positions 28 to 507 of the family's 1533-position model. The record is from RNAcentral.
GACGAACGCUGGCGGCGUGCUUAACACAUGCAAGUCGAACGGUGAAGCGCCUUCCUUUUUGGUGGGUGUGGAUGGGUGGCGAACGGGUGAGUAACACGUGAGUAACCUGCCCCCUUCUUCUGGAUAACCGCAUGAAAGUGUGGCUAAUACGGGAUAUUCUGGGUCUGUCGCAUGAUGGGUCUGGGAAAGAUAUUGUUUCGGUGGGGGAUGGGCUCGCGGCCUAUCAGCUUGUUGGUGGGGUGAUGGCCUACCAAGGCGGUGACGGGUAGCCGGCCUGAGAGGGUGGACGGUCACACUGGGACUGAGACACGGCCCAGACUCCUACGGGAGGCAGCAGUGGGGAAUAUGGCACAAUGGGCGCAAGCCUGAUGCAGCGACGCCGCGUGAGGGAUGGAGGCCUUCGGGUUGUGAACCUCUUUCGCCAGUGAAGCAGGCCUGCCUCGUUUGUGGGUGGGUUGACGGUAGCUGGAGAAGAAGCGCCGGCUAACUACGUG